Molecule: long non-coding RNA, 5444 nt
Organism: Daphnia pulex (common water flea)
Lineage: Eukaryota; Metazoa; Arthropoda; Branchiopoda; Diplostraca; Daphniidae
Exons: 3
Source: RefSeq, a predicted model, not a curated record
UUAACCUGUAUUCAAUCACGACCACUAGAUGCCAUGAUAUGUUUUUAUUUUAAUUUUUUAUACCAGCCGAUAGAGGGUUGAGGUUGAGGCAGGGAAACUCGCCAAGUAAAGCAAAGUUCCCAUUUCUUUCCAAUACGCCAAGCUGAGAGGGUAUCUGAGAGGGAGCUUUGAAUUAUCAAAGCUAAUUUUAAAUUUUUAUUGCAUAUCCCCCCCUGCCUUAAAAGAGAGCAAUGAUUCAAUCUCUGGUCGUGGUUAAAUUACAUUUAUUUUUGAUUUACAGAUCAAUAGAAAAAGAGAGAAGGAAACAGAUAGAGACACAGCAAUUUUUUUACAAACAGAGAGACACAUAAAUUUUUGAAAUUUCUUCGACUUUUAACUUUUUUUCGACUUUUCUCCUUUUCUUUCGGCAUCCAAAUUUUUCUCCAUUGACAUUCUAAUCCUCAUCCUCGCUGUCCGAGAAUAAAUCCGAGAAAGCGUUCGAAAGAUCGCUAUCUUCGUCCGAGGUGUUGUUGUUCCUCGCCUCCAAUGCCAACUUGGCCUUUUUGGCUUUCUUCUUUCGAAGACUCUUCUUUCGUUUGUGUUCACGUUCAACUGUCUUUUUUUAUACGAUAUGAUACACAUUUAGGCUUGAUUUCUUGCCGUCUUCAUAUCUAAGAUUGAAAAUGUCGAUUAGUGUAAAAUUUUUAAUCAAAACCGUUUUGACACUUACAAUACGACAGAGGCCGUCAGUUCUUCUCCCAGGCGUCCUACGUUUCCGCCCUUCGAAUCCUCUACAAUGACAGCUCCGCAACAGUCACGGUAAGUCUCUUUUUUUUACUCUAACUUUUUCUGACACUAUGAACAACAUUUGAAACAUGGAGAGCCAAGAAAGAAAAGGACCCAUUGGGAAAAUUGUAUUUGAAAAUUAACCAAUAAAGAUAAGAUAAAGAAAAUUAUGUUGCCGAACGCUCGCCUCUAGAAUAUGGGUUAAACUCACGGAGUAAGGGGUAAUGGUGGACGAGGGGUUGGAUAACACACGGGGUUGAUGGGGCCUUUGGCCAUCCUGCCGCGUCAAAGACCACGCACGGGGAAGCGAACGUCGGGCUCACAUAAUUUACUUACGGGGUAUUUAGUGCUGCUUCCGCUUCCUCCAAAACAGGGUGGACGGCUUCUAAUUUUUGCUCGGCCACGGUUUUGUCAGCCGCAAUGACGUCGACCAGCUGAUGUGCUCGAUCUUUGGCCAGCAAGACGUGAUUUUUGGUCGUUUCAGCUUCACGGGCUCUAUGCGUUUCAACUUCAACCUAAAGCGAAAAGUGAGAGUCUCUUUUUUUUAAGAGUUUCAUUGAUUCUUUGGACCGAUCGGACGUUUCAUUGAGAUUCUUGUUAGUUAUCCCACUGAGCCUGCAACGUACGGCUUGAACAGGCAGAAUCAAAAGCCUUUUGUAACAAAUAAUAAAAUACUUAGUAUCUAAGGAGUUUUAGAAACCAUUACACCAUACCUUUCAGGUAGCUUGAAACAUUCGGAAAAGUCUGCAUUGAAACGGUGUCCUGUAAUUUUUCGAUUGAAGAGAGAAGUUUUCAAUGUCAAGGCUUUUUCAAUUUGUCUAUUUGACGGACGUCAACGACGACGACGACAAACGUCAAGUUGGAGUCCGUAAAUCUAGAUGGCUAAAAAACACAAUAAUGGUCUUCAUUUUUUUUUCCUUCUACAGACUGAUAUUUUUUGACAUCUGAAUUGUUUCGACUCAUCCUCUUAAACUCUUCUCUUGAAUUUCUCUGCAUUGCUCUGCUCUGCCCCAUAGGCAUCUACUCGUCAUCCUCGUCGAGGCUACAAUCCGAGAAAGCGCUCGAAAGGUCGCUGUCCUCGUCCGAGGUGUUGUUGUUCGCCUCCAAAGCCAACUUGGCCUUUAUGGCUUUCUUGGUACGGUUGGCCUUCUUUCUUUUGCGUUCUCUUUCUUCUGGGUUUUUAAUUAAAAAAAUUAUUAAUUAAUUAUUUUUUAACUUGGUGUGGUGGGGUUCAAAUGUGGCUUUCUCUCUUGCACCAGCUAAUGCACCUAUUAGUACUUCUACAUCAGGUUUUCACUAAAGACGAAAUUAUGUAAACGAAAUGUCGUGGUUAAAUGACAUUUAUUGCAUCGAUACAUGGAAAAAGAGAGAAGGUAACAGAAAGACACAGACAUUUUUGAAACACACACACACACAUAUAUAGGCACUGUAAUAUGACAUCUGAAUUUUUCGACUCUCUUUUCUUGAAUUUCUCCUCAUUGCUUUUCUCUUCUCCAUAGGCAUUUACUCGUCGUCAUCCUCGUCGAGGCUGCAAUCAGAAAAAGCGCUCGACAGGUCGCUGUCCUCGUCCGAGUUUGCCUCCAAAGCCAACUUGGCCUUUUUGGCUUCCUUGAUUCUCCAGAAUCAACACUGGUGUCGUUUCCAGAACCAACAUCAGGAACUCCACAAGAAUCUGACUCCCCUUCAGAGGAUUCCACAACGGGGGUCACAUCUUCUUCGUCAGAUGCUUUAUCAUCUGAGGCUACUGAAGUGUUGAUGCUGGGCGAUCCGGAACUCAUCAAGGUGAAGAAAGGUGACAUAAUUCAGCUCCAGAGACGUGGAUUUUUUAUUUGUGAUUCUCCUUAUGAGCCGAUCAGGUCAAAACUUUAUAAUGGUAAUUUUACUUUUCAUUGGCUUUAACAUUGACUAAACUUAUUUGAAAAUUUUUUUAAAGAAAUGGGUAGCUUAAGUACAGAAAAAACACGAAAAGAAAGGAUUUCAUGAAAGGGGAUUAGGAGGAAUGUUUUUUCUCGUUGAAAUUGUAAAAUUAUUAAUCCAGUUUUUGACGUUUUGAUUCAGUCGGGUCAUCGCUCAGUCUUUUGACCUUGCGGCCUUCAUUCCCUUAAUUUUCAAUAAAUAAAAAUUAGUUUUUUAACAAUAAUUAUUAUUGAAAAUUUACCUUUAACCAAAUUGAUUUCCUCAUCCAUUUUUAGAUCAAUAGUUGACGCUGAAAAGCAAAAAAAAAACAUUAAUGUAUUAACAUUUUUUAAACUAAUGAUAUUUUGAAUUUCUUACCAGCAAAAGAGAUUUCAAGCUCGGCCAUGCUAUCAUCAGUUUCUUCUUGAGAGCCUGGGUUUACCUCAUGAGUAAAAUUCUCAGCAACAAAAUCGUCACCUGCAGAAUUUUUGGUAAAAUUUUAACACUUAUGACUUACUUAUAACAUCUUAAAACUAACCAUAGUGAUAAUCCAAGUCCUCCGUUUCAUCCCCCCAAUCUUGUUGAUGGAACAAACUUUAAAUUGUUUUAAAGGUAAAUUUGGACUUACAAUCCACAUUCGUAAUAAGUGUGAGUAUGUAUUGUCAUCCAUUUUAUGGUAUUUCUAUUCCAACAAGUUUUCAAUUCAACUGAAUUCAGGAAAGAAAUCAAACAAUUCAGUUUUAGACUUAGUCAAGGCUUUUAUCGGUGAUAAUUUGUCUAUUUGACGGACUACCCCAACGUCAAGUUGGAGUCCUUAAAUCUAGAUAGCUUUGGGGUACGAAUGGGCUUCACUCUCUGUCGUCUGCAAUGUUAGCGGUGGGUUUUUAUCAUUGGAAAAAUCAUAACUUUGAACGUCAUACAUUGUUUGUGUUCUAUCACAGACUAAGGUUCUAGUUAGUUCCAUGUACACCUGAAAAGUUAAAAUUGUUCAGCUAUGGCAGAUUCAGGAAAUAAUUCUAGAGGUAAAGAAAGAGGUGGGUUUCGUGUUAGAGGCAAUAACAACUGGUCACGUAUCGUUGUCUGCAUGGCCAAUCCCCCCCCUUACUUGUCUCGUCACAUUGUUCCAUAUUUACCUGGUCGUUCUUUGUGGUCUGAUAACCUUGCUCGCAUUAUUGUCUCUCCAAACCUAAACUUGCCAACUAUGGUCAGAGAGCUUUAUCACAGGCUGCACCUCGACUGUGGAAUGAUCUUCCAGCAUUAAUCUGUCUUGUCCCUAACUUUCCCGUGUUCAAGAGUCUUCGUCUUAAGACCCACUUGUAUGCCACUGCUUAUCUCUGAUUAUUUCAUGUCCAAUUGUGUGGUGGAGAAUAGAAUAGAAUAGAAUAGCUUCCCUCUGUGACUAUCAUCUUCAACUUGUGGCUCACCAUCAUCUGUAAUUAAAGGCAAGUUUAAUGUAGAUGGCUUUUAUUUCCAUAUAAAAUUUGAUUUUCCUGAAACGGCUGCCUCUACACUCUGUGCAAACUCUGUAAAGGUACUACAUUGUUUUCAUUGAAUAAUUUUAUUGUUUUAUUGUUAGUAGUGGCACACAUAGCUACCUUCUGCCAAGUAGUGAACAAAUGUCUCGUUCAAUUUAUUUAUUUCUUAAAAUUCUGUUAAAAAUUGAAGGUUCCAAAUAAUUGUGAUUACUUUUUCGAAAUUCUCCCUCGAGUCAGACCAGUCAGAAUCGCAGAGAUUCGUCAAUGGAUGAUGUUGGCUUGAACCGGACAAGAAGAUGAAAAAUGAAUGGAUGAAGAAAAUUUUACCUGAUCGCGAUACGAUGGAAAGUAUGAAAGAAUCCCGUUAAUUCCCGUAGACGAUUAUUUUUCUGAUAUAUGGCAGGAGGAAUUUGAUUUGAGAUUUAAUGGCCAUUAACUCUAAUUAGUGUUUAUUUUUAUUAAUGAAUCAACAAACAGCUAACCCAAAUUUGUUUCAGGGUCUACAAAUGCUAUGGAAUGUAAGGAGUUUGUCUUUUGUGAAAAGGGGUUACAGGAGGGUGGGGGGUAAAAAAAUUUGGGUUACGUCAUUUAUGGAUGGUCUCUCCUGUAAUUUUUUCGGGCUAAAUAAGCUCCCAUAAUUAUAAUUAUAAAGGAUUGACAAUAAAUUUACAAUACAUUGACAAAUUCUGUUAUUAUUAAUUUAUUAAUCAGGCUACUGGAGAAAACAUUAGGAGGGAGGUAGUAAUUUGCCAAAGGGGAAAUGGUCGCUACUCCAAUUCAGUAUCAUGACUUAUGUUAACCAAAAUUCCCUGCUUGGAGUUGUAAGAAAAGGUAAUGAUUGAAUGAUGAAUCAAUUGAAUCAGUUAUAACAAUGUAAUAUUUAAAAAAAAAUUAAAAAUAAACUUAAAUUUUCUCUGGGAGCUCUGUAGAAGGGUUUGGUGUUAAGCCUGGGUAUUGGCUAUAUUUUCUUGAGGUUAUUUGCCCAAAAAUUGGUUUACCAUCAUCUUGCAAAGAUUCUAUCAAAUCAAUUUUCAUCGAUAGGGUCGAUAGGGAAAAAAUGUUAAUGCAAUUCAUCUUUAAAAAAAUAAUUAUUGCAUUUAUUCCGUUGAUAGCUUUAUAAGUCGCAUUUUUAUGUUCGUGUUCCGACUCUUGUGUGAGAGUCGCACGUGAGUUUUUAGAGGGUAUCCUCAUCAUCAUCAUUUUUAUCGUUACUUGAAUUGACUUCGUCUUCUGUGAUUUAUUUUUAGAUUUUAUCCUCUGAUGUGCACUUCCCAUCUUUUUAAAUUUUUCGCAUAGCUGGGAGUUCCU